RNAcentral lists this long non-coding RNA (5120 nucleotides) under Xyrichtys novacula (pearly razorfish). Lineage: Eukaryota; Metazoa; Chordata; Actinopteri; Labriformes; Labridae. The record is from RNAcentral.
AACGAGAUCGGUGCGAGAUUGAAAAUGGCAGCCCACUGCUAAACUCUAAAAACACAACUUCCUCUCUUUUUUUAUCAAACAAAUCCACAUUUCGAUACACUAAACUUGGAUUUCUCCAACCGAUCGAACUGGAUUACCUCUAGGAUUAUACUAAUGGACGCCUGUGUCCACUUAGUGAUGCGAACGACACCGGAAAAGAGCAGAAAAUAGACAAAAACAUACCCGCACUGACUGCAUGCAGAGACUCCGUCUGCCAGAGCUCCUCCACUGUUCCCCUGAAUAAUCCUGCAGUAUUGAGGUAAGUGACAUCUAGAUUUGAUUCGACAACACUCUAUCCGAACUCGAUAGUCCAACAAUUAAUCGUCAGUCUGAUCAAAUUUAUCAAAGAAAAGUUAAAGAAACAAGGUCCUGAUCCAAAACAACAACAUCUAGAUAUAUCAGAUCUGGACUACAUUAAAAGAGAGAUUAUUUGUUUUCACAUGUUUGUGUUAAUUGUUAAAAUGUAAGAAAGGGCUGGCUUUACCCUUUACACACAGACUUACAGUCAGAUCUGGUCUUAACUAUUCUGAACGGUGUUUGAAAGAGUCCAGAGCUCUUUUGACCUAUUAAAGUUUAUCUGAGAAGUCUAGGUAUUGCAUUAUGAUGCAGUUUAGUUAAAAAAAAAAGUGGUGAAAUCGCCUUUUCUUGCAUUUUUAUAAAUUAAAGUGUUCAAAACUCAGGAACUGUGUUUUAAGACGUCUAUAGAGUCUAACUAAACCAGAUUUAACAAAACUUGAUGACAAAUCCCUCCAUGUCCCCCCACCACUCUUUGAAAGAUAUGGCGGCUAUACAGCAUGGGUGGGCAUUGGGGGGGCCGUGCCCGCCCUGGACUAAAAGCAAAAUUUUCUAUUAAUUUAAUUUGGGGUUGCUGUUCCAUCAGAGUAGUCAUCUUCAUUUAAUCCCAUCUAUCUUGAAAUGUCAAUCAAUCCAACCACUCCAAUCGAUCGAAUGCAACGUGUGAGCCAAUUACAGGUAAAAGGGGGCGGGCCACAACCGUGUUAAAGUUCAAAUAUUCGUAGACGGACUCGGCGCGAAGGUGGACUCACCGGUAAGCAUUGAAAAAAAUGGAUGUAAGAGGUUUUUUUGUUUGUCAAAAAAGGACCACUAACGCUGACAGGAGCAAGCGGGAAGUAGCGGCAGCGCCACACAGCUCCAGUUUUAGGAACUAAAACACCGAAGCCAACUGUCACGCCGGAGUAAACAUCCAUGCUAGCGGAGGGAGCAACAGCAGCUAGGUAGCACCAGGAGCAGUAGCGAGCAGCGAGACCCUCCUGCCUGGAAACGUGGUUGAUGAUGCCUAUGUCGUGAACAACAAUACACUACCACAGCUUUGCCGUAACAUUACAUCUGUGAGGAGCAACAGCAAGGCAGCCAGUGAGGAACACAUGCUGCUUCGUUCUGCUCCAGGUGCCCCCUAGCUGCUGUACCUCCUCCUCUAGCAUGAAUGUUUACUCCGGUGUGACUGUUGGCUCAGUGCUUAGAUUUCUAGAAGUGGAGUUGUGUGGCCCUGCUCUCUGAAUGCCCCUCGCCUCUGUUUUAUUGAUAAUAAAUGAACACAGCACUACAGUCACUACUGUAUUUUGUUUGUUUUAUUUCUAUAUAUUUAAAGAUGAAAUGCCUCUUUCAAUACUGUAGGAGAGGCCACAGAGCUGCUGUUAAGCCUGAAGCAGAUAAAAUACAGGUUUAAAUAAGUGUGCCCCCCUGAAAAAAUGUAAUGCCCCCCUCUCAUUUGUUUCUGCAGCCAGGUCUGCAGCUAUAACAUCCAAUUUAGAGGAAUUUGCAUAUUGUUCUGAUUCCAAACUCUUCCUCUCCUACUCCUGUCUUUGUGUGUCUCAUGCAGAUGUCCAACAGCUAACAGAGAUUAAAGGAGUUUCCAAAGAGUCAGCACAUACUCUUGAGAAGGAGGACCUAAGGAGCCAACAAGUUCUCGACAAAUCAGGAUGUGGAGCCGUUUAAAGGCUGUAUGUUGUUCCCAUUGAUUUGUGUCAGUGUGAAGUGUCAAGGCAAUGAAGAAAAAACUCAAAAAAACUGUCAAGGACAGAGUGGUGAUGCUAACAGCCAGCAUCUCAGCCAAUGAGAAGGAAACAAAGGCCAAUGGAGAGGAUUUUGGGGAAAUGGAAUCAAGGGAGAGUUUGGAUCCAGACAGCCAUCUACAACCUGAUACAGACAACAUGUUUGGCAAAACUUGUGAAACUGAAGACUGGCAGAAACCUCUGUCAGAUUCUGAACAUGAAGCUGAAGACAUGGACAACAGUUGGAGUGAGACAGAGGCAUCUAAUCCAGUUGAUGAAAAUAAUACAAGAUCAAAUGAUGGUGAGAAUUCCCAUUGCUUCCCUCAGAUCGUUACAGGGCUUGACCAAAAGUCCCCUAAAAGCCAAAAGAGCCCAAGGAGAGUCUCGAUAAUAAAAGCAUUCCCUUGUAAAAUUUGUGGGAGGAGCUUUUCACAACAGAAAAAUGCUGAGAAACACUUGAAGACCCAUACAAAAGAAAAACCCUUCAGUUGUGAUAUAUGUGGAAAGACAUUUCGAAGAAAAGAUAAUGCUGAACUACAUUUAGCAGUUCAUGCAGAGGAGAAACCCUUUAUUUGCGAUGUGUGUGGAAAGACAUUUGCUUUUCAACAAAAUGUGAAGCAACACAUGAGAGUCCAUACAGGGGAGAAACCCUUCAGUUGUGAUGUUUGUGGAAAAACUUUUAUCCAGAAGAUACAUGCUGUCAGACACAUGACAGUGCACACAGGAGAGAAACUCUACAGUUGUGAGGUUUGCGGGAAGACAUUCACUCAACAACGAAAUGUUAAGAAACACAUGUCAGUCCAUACAGGGGAGAAACCGUUCAGCUGUACUGUGUGUGGGAAGAGCUUUAAUCAGCGAAACCAGGUUCAGAAACACAUGAGAGUCCAUACAGGGGAGAAACCCUAUGGUUGUGAUAUUUGUGGAAAAAGAUUUAACCAGCGGCAACAUGUUCAGAAACACAUGACAGUCCAUACGGGAGAGAAACCCUUCAGUUGUGAUGUUUGUGGGAGGGCCUAUAAACAUCGGCAGCACGCCAGAGACCACAUGAAAUCCCAUUCAGGAGAGAGACCCUAUAGCUGUAAACUUUGUGGGAAGUCAUUCACUCACCAUCAAGGAAUUACAGUACACAUGAGAUCCCAUACUGGUGAGAAACCCUAUAGAUGUGGUGUGUGCGGGAAGGGUUUUACACAACAACAACAUGUUAAGAAACACAUGACCGUCCACACAGGGGAGAAACCGUUCAGUUGUGAUGUUUGCGGGAAGAGUUUUAGUCAGCAACAACAUGUUAAGAAACACAUGACAGUCCAUACAGAGGAGAAACCAUUCAGUUGUAGUUUUUGCGAGAAGACUUUUAAACAUCAACAACAUGUUAGGAGGCACAUGACAGUCCAUCUUGAACUCAUGAGGAACACUAGAGUUUUGGCACCAAAAGCAAUUUGUAGGAAGGAUGAAGUGUCUGGAACAAUAUGAGAAUCCAGAUAGGAUAAUCCCUGUACUUGAACUUAUAACAUGGAAACAUUUUCAUAAGAAUUAAGUGUUCAGAAACACAAGAAUCCACAUGAAAAGAGAAACUAACUAUACAUUUUGUUAUGGUAACUUAUCAGUUAAUAUGACUCAUAUGUAUAUUUGGAGCAUUUACUGUGACUAUAGGUCAAUACUGCGAGUCAGCUUAGCAGAGCUCAUAGUGUCCUGUCACCCUUUUAGACCAGUUUACUCCUCUUCUGGCAUGUCCAUGAGUAACACAGAAGAUAAAGACUUCAUCUAUCAGGCCUCUCUCCUGUCAUCUCAGCCACUGCAUCAAGCACUAGUGUCUGGUUGUGCUGACGCUGACUGAUUGGUAAAGAGAACUUUGUCCCUGCUACUGUUAUCAAAAGUCCGCUGUGUUGGACUUAUACUGGGUACCUCCAAAUAACUAAGAGUGCAGUUUGCAGCUGUUAUUGAUAUGAAGUGUCACUUGCAGUGAUGUUGCUAGCUACAUGUCCUGCUUCUUUUACACAUAUAAUUUUGAAAUGACUCUUUAAAUUUGACACCCACCUUGUCUUUCCCAGUCAGAAUGAUACACUAUGAACCAUCAGCGGAGCAGGACUGCUACUAUUAAUGUUGUCAAUGGAGGUGCACCUCAGUGUCACCCCUGGCAGUCUUUAGUUUCAGUGAAUAGGCUGGACAGUUUCCUUCUUAUUUAAAAUCAUCUUCAGCAUGUUGUUAUUGUUUCAGAAUUACCAGUUACAAAAUUGGCUAUGAAGGACACAUUUUAUAGGUGACAAUGGUAUUUUUUCCACAGAUUCUCUGGCAUUCUUCAUCCAUAUUCAUAUCUAAAUUGGCUUUAAAAUUAGCACAUAUAACUGCAUGGCAUUUAUCUUAUGCUCAGAUGACCUCUGUACAUUUCUCUUUUCUAGUGGGUUCCCUUGUAAACACUUAUAACAUUUUAAAACUGCCAAAAAAAGAGAGACAUUUCUGUAUCAUAAAGGUGAAUUAUCCUUGUAAAUUGUCACACCUUUUAAACACAUAAUCACGCACUUCUUCAGAAGUAACUUAAAUUUUCAACACAAUUGUUGAAAAGUUUUCAAAAGGACACACUAAAAUCACUACCUGUGGGUUUCCAAGACUUCCUUAAAAGCUAUCAACAUCACUGUACUGAAGAAUUUUUUAAGGACAGGGAGCUGCUUAUUCAUGAUGCACCAUUCUGAAAUUUUAACUUCCUGCUCAUGUUAGUAUUUGUGUACGGCUCUGCAAUUUUAAAAACCCAAAUUUGUGUGAAAAAAAAACCGAUUUCUGUUUCUCAUGUUUUCCAUAAUAAAGCGCAAAAAACGAUUAUGAAUGCAAUGUUUCAAGUAUAUUCAAUAAUUGUUUGCUUCUUGAUAUGGUGUUUUUAGACUGAAACAUGUUAUGUGAUUCGUUGAAGUAAGGUUGCAACGCUAUGAUGUAUUCAGUGAACAAAAACUGCUUCUUGUUGAAAAAUGAACUGGCUUGUCAGUCUGUAUUUUUUCUUCAUUUAUGAAUGAAAGUUUCCUUUUUGUGGUUUCUUUUGGUCUUCAUGUUUUCUAAUAAAAGUCAGUGUUCAGGAUAAUA